Non-coding RNA from Manis javanica (Malayan pangolin), 1977 nucleotides. Lineage: Eukaryota; Metazoa; Chordata; Mammalia; Pholidota; Manidae. The record is from RefSeq and is a predicted model, not a curated record.
UGCCUAGAGUAGACCUAGAGUGUUGUUGCUGAGGGUGGGAAUGGGCACGAGGAAGCAGCCAGCGGUCCCUACCACCUCGAGGACCUGGUUUAUCUCCACAGGGCUAGGUGUCUCUCGUGUGAGAAAGAUGAUACGAACCACUUGGGACGGCAGACAGAUCUCAUUUUGGGGCCAGCCCCAGUAGGUUGGUAGCGACUGCGUGCCGUGCACUCUGUUGGACCCUGAGUCCCUAGUUGUCAUCCUCAGCAGUUACCCAAGGAAGAUAUUACUGUGCAUCUACUAUGCACUGUACACUGGAGAAACCAAAGCGAGGCACAGUCUCUACCCUCUGUUUCUACCAAUUCAUCACAAACUAUAAUAGAAAACCACAAAUCCUGUAAUGAAAGAUUGUGCAAAGUACUAGGAAGCUUAGAGAAGGAAGAACUGAAGGCAGGGGAAUUGAAAAAAGAAGACAUCUGAGUUGAGUCUCGAAGAAUGAAAACAUACUCUUGAAGAGAAUGGGAGGAGUGAAGAGCUGCGAGCACAUGGCUUUACGGGAGAAGCGCUGCCUGUGCUUAUGUCAUCUCAUUUGAUACUUAAUAGGCACAUGAAAUAGAAUCAUUUGUUCCAGUUUCACAGAUGAAGGAGCCAAGUUUCAGAAAGAUCACAUCGUUGAGUAUCAUCUUGUUUUGCAUCUAGUUCUGGAGGGUGACUUGGCUUGAAUUGUUACUGUCAAAAAUAAACAAAGACAAAACUGACUCAAGUACUGUAUUCCUCUGUCAUGCAUUUAACUGUAUUAAACCAUUAAAUGGAUGGCACUGCAUGUUGAGAUGUGCGUUUUUGUCAUGGAAUAAAAUCUAGGUUUGUUAAUGAGAACAAAUAUAAAAGUUAUAUUUUCUGGAUUUGGAAGCUGAUUGCUAGAAGAGUAAUAGGAAUAAAGUACUCUUUAGCCUUUUGGCUCUCAAUGUUUUUUACUUUGUUAAGUAGUUUAAUUAGCUAUUCUAGACUAAUUCAGCAUUUUGUUUCCAAUUGUGUAUAAAUUGUGUGUGUGUAUGUGUGUGUACAUAAGAAUAGAUACAGUUCUGUAAAAUAUUUAAAUGGUAAUAGGCAUUUAACACAUUUUGAAAUAUUUAUAUAAUUUGAAGACACUGAAAAAAACCACUUUGGCUCAAGUAUUCCAUGACAGGUUUGAGGAUUUUCAACAUAUUUCUUUAUGUGAAUUUAAUUCCCAGUUAUAAUUAAAAAAAAAAAAAAUGAGAAGUUAAAUCUUUGCUCCUUGACAGCAUUUUAAUAUAUCUCUUCUGGUAAUUUGCUAGAAUUUAAUUAGAUCAGAAGAAAUAAAAAGCUCAAAACCAUUAUGUAGUGAAUGUGUUCUAGAUAAUUUGCUUUAAACUGAGAGUAAAAUAGUUUGAUGAAUUAUGUUUUUCCUUUUGUUAAGUAGAAUUUUUGUUCUCUAAUUGUUAAGUAAAACUGUGAUAUUAUAGGGUUAACUUCAUUAUGUUCACAAUUAAACUCUUAUUUGCAUUGUUACCUAUUCUAAGAUAUUUAAUAUUUAUAUAUAAUUCAUGUAUUUAACCUCAGGCAGUAUUAGUUAAAUCUUUUUUUUUUCCUUACAGAAUCUUGUAGUAUAUGUUACAUAUGAUAAACUAUCUCUUCUAGACUAUUUUUAUUAUAUAUCAAAGCAGCAGUGCCUAAUUUGUAAGUAGAAAAUUAAAAAAAAUUUUUUAUUAAACAUCUAGGGCAUAAAAGUCUGGCCAUUUUUCUAAAAGUAAAGAAGUAUAUGUUUUAUUUUCUGUAAGGACUAUUGAUUUAGGUUGGAAACAGUGUAUUCUAACAGGAAAUUUGAAUUUUAACUCGGUCAGUGUGUAUUUCAGAAUAAGUAGUUGCUGCUUCCAAUGUGAAGUGUUAUUUAUUGUAAAAUCAUUGCUCUAGUUGUAUAGUUCUUUGUGUACAUGUUUUCAACUAAUGUCUAGACCUAUACCAAAUGUAAAAUAAAUA